This 221-nucleotide unclassified non-coding RNA is filed under the name Hevea brasiliensis (rubber tree). The record is from RNAcentral. Lineage: Eukaryota; Viridiplantae; Streptophyta; Magnoliopsida; Malpighiales; Euphorbiaceae.
CGUGCAUCUUCGAAAUACUCGAUGAGAAUACAAACACAGCUUAGUGUUAACUUGGUAUGAGAAGCACCAUGUAACAGUGCAAAACUAAAUAAAGACCCAUAAAUGACCAAGAGACUAGUAUUACUCAUGUUAGAACUUAAGAACCAAAAACCUGAACAAAAACUUUGCCAGAGUAUGAGCAUUAAACUGCGGAGCAAACCUGAGGUGUAGGAGAUGGAGGG